AGCGAACGCUGGCGGCAGGCCUAACACAUGCAAGUCGAACGGACCCUUCGGGGUUAGUGGCGGACGGGUGAGUAACACGUGGAACGUGCCCUUUGGUUCGAAACAACACAGGGAAACUUGUGCUAAUACCGGAUAAGCCCUUCGGGGGAAAGAUUUAUUGCCAUUGGAGCGGCCCGCGUUGGAUUAGGUAGUUGGUGAGGUAAAAGCUCACCAAGCCUGCGAUCCAUAGCUGGUCUGAGAGGAUGAUCAGCCACAUUGGGACUGAGACACGGCCCAAACUCCUACGGGAGGCAGCAGUGGGGAAUCUUGCGCAAUGGGCGAAAGCCUGACGCAGCCAUGCCGCGUGAAUGAUGAAGGUCUUAGGAUUGUAAAAUUCUUUCAGCGGGGACGAUAAUGACGGUACCCGCAGAAGAAGCCCCGGCUAACUUCGUGCCAGCAGCCGCGGUAAUACGAAGGGGGCUAGCGUUGCUCGGAAUUACUGGGCGUAAAGGGAGCGUAGGCGGAUAGUUUAGUCAGAGGUGAAAGCCCAGGGCUCAACCUUGGAAAUGCCUUUGAUACUGGCUAUCUUGAGUAUGGGAGAGG
Molecule: ribosomal RNA, 582 nt
Filed under: uncultured Caulobacter sp.
Lineage: Bacteria; Pseudomonadati; Pseudomonadota; Alphaproteobacteria; Caulobacterales; Caulobacteraceae
Description: bacterial SSU rRNA
Rfam family: Bacterial small subunit ribosomal RNA
Source: RNAcentral